UUGGACAUGGGCGAAGCCUGAUCCAGCCAUGCCGCGUGUGUGAAGAAGGUCUUCGGAUUGUAAAGCACUUUAAGUUGGGAGGAAGGGCAGUAAGUUAAUACCUUGCUGUUUUGACGUUACCAACAGAAUAAGCACCGGCUAACUUCGUGCCAGCAGCCGCGGUAAUACGAAGGGUGCAAGCGUUAAUCGGAAUUACUGGGCGUAAAGCGCGCGUAGGUGGUUCAGCAAGUUGGAGGUGAAAUCCCCGGGCUCAACCUGGGAACUGCCUCCAAAACUACUGAGCUAGAG
RNAcentral lists this ribosomal RNA (288 nucleotides) under uncultured bacterium. RNAcentral describes it as "partial 16S ribosomal RNA". It matches the Rfam family "Bacterial small subunit ribosomal RNA", at positions 364 to 646 of the family's 1533-position model. The record is from RNAcentral.